GGAAUAUUGGUCAAUGGGCGCAAGCCUGAACCAGCCAUGCCGCGUGCAGGAAGACGGCCCUAUGGGUUGUAAACUGCUUUUGUCAGGGAAUAAACCCCCGCUCGUGAGCGGGGCUGAAGGUACCUGAAGAAUAAGCAUCGGCUAACUCCGUGCCAGCAGCCGCGGUAAUACGGAGGAUGCAAGCGUUAUCCGGAUUCAUUGGGUUUAAAGGGUGCGCAGGCGGAUUGGUAAGUCAGGGGUGAAAUCCCACAGCUCAACUGUGGAGCUGCCUUUGAUACUGUCAGGCUAGAGUAUGGUUGAAGUGCGCGGAAUGUCUCAUGUAGCGGUGAUAUGCUUAGAUAUAGCACAGAACACCGAUCGCGUAGGCAGCUCGCUAGGCUAUCACUGACGCUCGUGCACGAAAGCGUGGGGAUCAAACAGGAU
RNAcentral lists this ribosomal RNA (423 nucleotides) under uncultured bacterium. Its description in RNAcentral is "bacterial SSU rRNA". It matches the Rfam family "Bacterial small subunit ribosomal RNA", at positions 358 to 778 of the family's 1533-position model. The record is from RNAcentral.